This 495-nucleotide ribosomal RNA is filed under the name uncultured bacterium. Its description in RNAcentral is "partial 16S ribosomal RNA". It matches the Rfam family "Bacterial small subunit ribosomal RNA", at positions 28 to 507 of the family's 1533-position model. The record is from RNAcentral.
GACGAACGCUGGCGGCGUGCCUAAUACAUGCAAGUAGAGCGCUGAAGGAGGAGCUUGCUUCUCUGGAUGAGUUGCGAACGGGUGAGUAACGCGUAGGUAACCUGCCUGGUAGCGGGGGAUAACUAUUGGAAACGAUAGCUAAUACCGCAUAAUAGUAGAUGUUGCAUGACAUUUGCUUAAAAGGUGCAAUUGCAUCACUACCAGAUGGACCUGCGUUGUAUUAGCUAGUUGGUGAGGUAACGGCUCACCAAGGCGACGAUACAUAGCCGACCUGAGAGGGUGAUCGGCCACACUGGGACUGAGACACGGCCCAGACUCCUACGGGAGGCAGCAGUAGGGAAUCUUCGGCAAUGGACGGAAGUCUGACCGAGCAACGCCGCGUGAGUGAAGAAGGUUUUCGGAUCGUAAAGCUCUGUUGUAAGAGAAGAACGAGUGUGAGAGUGGAAAGUUCACACUGUGACGGUAUCUUACCAGAAAGAGACGGCUAACUACGUG